This 70-nucleotide transfer RNA is filed under the name Rhyacotriton variegatus (southern torrent salamander). Its description in RNAcentral is "tRNA-Ile". It matches the Rfam family "tRNA". Rfam says of the family: Transfer RNA (tRNA) molecules are approximately 80 nucleotides in length. Their secondary structure includes four short double-helical elements and three loops (D, anti-codon, and T loops). Further hydrogen bonds mediate the characteristic L-shaped molecular structure. tRNAs have two regions of fundamental functional importance: the anti-codon, which is responsible for specific mRNA codon recognition, and the 3' end, to which the tRNAs corresponding amino acid is attached (by aminoacyl-tRNA synthetases). tRNAs cope with the degeneracy of the genetic code in two manners: having more than one tRNA (with a specific anti-codon) for a particular amino acid; and 'wobble' base-pairing, i.e. permitting non-standard base-pairing at the 3rd anti-codon position. The record is from RNAcentral. Lineage: Eukaryota; Metazoa; Chordata; Amphibia; Caudata; Rhyacotritonidae.
GGAUAUGUGCCCGAAAAUAGGGUUCACUUUGAUAGGGUGAUAUAUAGAGGUUAAAAUCCUCUCCUCUCCU